CAGCCAAUGCCAAAUCUGCAGUAAAGUUUUUAAACAUCAGCGAAACCUGUGGAGGCAUCAAAACUACGAGUACAAUAAACCAAAGUCGUUCAUUUGUCCGUAUUGUAAAUAUGCUGCUCAUCAUAAGAGUCAAUUAAAAAGUCACUUUUCAAGGAAGCAUAAGCAAUAUCCAAAUUUUGAAGAAGUAUGGAGACAAUUAUUUACGUGGAAUUAAGCUUUUAUGAAAUAAGACAGGAUCGUUAAACUUCAAUAUCAUAAAUUUCCCAAAUGUGAUAAUUAACGAACGGUGUCGUCACAUUCACACUAGUUCGGAAGUAUAAAUGCGACAGAUGUUCUAGAUCAUACGAGAAGAAAAAUUCAUUAAUUUGUCAUCAAUCCAAAGAUUGCGGACAACGUGUAGCAUGCGGAUAUUGCAUGAAAACUUUUGCUCGAAGAAAAACUUUAGAUCUGCAUGUAUUCAAAAAACACUACGAGUUUUAAAAACUUAAUCUGCUAUCAGCAAGUUACCAAAAAUACCAUUUUUGUUACUUUUUCUUAGAUUUAAUAUAUAUUAUAAUAAACAUUAUUUGAC
Molecule: long non-coding RNA, 571 nt
Organism: Anthonomus grandis grandis
Lineage: Eukaryota; Metazoa; Arthropoda; Insecta; Coleoptera; Curculionidae
Exons: 2
Source: RefSeq, a predicted model, not a curated record